AUGUGUAUACCAAAAAAGAAAGGUGGAAUGGGCUUUAGGGAUAUUCAGUGCUUUAAUCUUGCACUCUUGGCAAAACAAGCAUGGAGACUCAUUGAGAACCCGGAUUCUCUAUGUGCAAAGAUCCUCAAAGCAAAGUACUACCCUAAUGAUGAUUUGCUGAGUGUUACUCUAAAAAAGAAAUCUUCGUAUACUUGGCAAAGCAUAAUGGUAGGAGUGGAUACCCUGAAGUGCGGUCAUAUAUGGAGGGUGGGUGAUGGACGACAAAUAAUUUGGGAGGACAGUUGGAUACCUCAAUCACCUAACAGGAAGGUUAUCUCAUUGAGAGGGAACCAUAUCCUAACCCGAGUGGAAGAACUAAUUGAUCCAGGGACAGGGGAUUGGGAUGCGCCGCUAGUGAACCAAACAUUCUGCAGUGUUGAUGCCCAAAGAAUUCUCUCAAUCCCGCUACCAGUUUAUGAGAUGACAGACUUUGUGGCUUGGAGCUACACAAAGACGGGUGUUUUUUCAGUGAGGUCUGCCUAUCAUGCAGUCUGGGAGACUAAGUUUGGGCAACGGUCACAACAUGUGGGCACUUCGUCCACAAUUACACCCACUUGGGAUUCUAUCUGGUCUCUGAACUGUCCAGGUAAAGUCAAAAUUUUCACUUGGAGAGCGCUUAACAGCUCAAUACCUUGCCGAGCAAACCUGUCUGAUAGGCACAUUAAAAUCUCAUCACAAUGCCCAGUAUGUCAUGAUGGUCCUGAAACACUUCAACACCUCCUGUUCGCGUGCCCGGUGGCAGUGGAGGUUUGGAAAUUGCUUGGUUUGAUUGAUGUGAUA
RNAcentral lists this ribosomal RNA (819 nucleotides) under Triticum aestivum (bread wheat). Its description in RNAcentral is "partial small subunit ribosomal RNA". Lineage: Eukaryota; Viridiplantae; Streptophyta; Magnoliopsida; Poales; Poaceae. The record is from RNAcentral.